UGCGUAGGCGGUGCGGUAAGUCUUCUGUGAAAUCUCCGGGCUCAACUCGGAGCCUGCAGGAGAAACUGCCGUGCUUGAGUAUGGGAGAGGUGAGUGGAAUUCCUGGUGUAGCGGUGAAAUGCGUAGAUAUCAGGAGGAACACCUGUGGCGAAAGCGGCUCACUGGACCAUAACUGACGCUGAGGCACGAAAGCUAGGGGAGCAAACAGGAUUAGAUACCCUGGUAGUCCUAGCCCUAAACGAUGAUUGCUUGGUGUAGCAGGUACCCAAUCCUGCUGUGCCGCAGCUAACGCGUUAAGCAAUCCGCCUGGGGAGUACGGUCGCAAGGCUGAA
This 332-nucleotide ribosomal RNA is filed under the name uncultured bacterium. RNAcentral's name for it is "bacterial SSU rRNA". It matches the Rfam family "Bacterial small subunit ribosomal RNA", at positions 568 to 898 of the family's 1533-position model. The record is from RNAcentral.